Molecule: ribosomal RNA, 492 nt
Filed under: uncultured bacterium
Lineage: Bacteria
Description: partial 16S ribosomal RNA
Rfam family: Bacterial small subunit ribosomal RNA
Source: RNAcentral
AGUGAACGCUGGCGGUAGGCCUAACACAUGCAAGUCGAACGGCAGCACAGUAAGAGCUUGCUCUUACGGGUGGCGAGUGGCGGACGGGUGAGGAAUACAUCGGAAUCUACUUUUUCGUGGGGGAUAACGUAGGGAAACUUACGCUAAUACCGCAUACGACCUACGGGUGAAAGCAUUGGAUCUUCGGACCUUGCGCGAUUGAAUGAGCCGAUGUCGGAUUAGCUAGUUGGCGGGGUAAAGGCCCACCAAGGCGACGAUCCGUAGCUGGUCUGAGAGGAGGGUCAGCCACAUGGGAACUGAGACACGGACCAGACUCCUAAGGGAGGCAGCAGUCGGGAAUAUUGGGCAAUGGGGGCAAGCCUGAUACAGCCCUACCGAGUGGGUGGAGAAGGCCUUCGGGUUGGAAAGACCGUUUGUUGGGAAAGAAAAGCAGCAGGUUAAUACCCCGCUGUUCUGACGGUACCCAAAGAAUAAGCACCGGCUAACUUCGUG